Molecule: ribosomal RNA, 462 nt
Filed under: uncultured bacterium
Lineage: Bacteria
Description: bacterial SSU rRNA
Rfam family: Bacterial small subunit ribosomal RNA
Source: RNAcentral
UACGGGAGGCAGCAGUGGGGAAUAUUGCACAAUGGGCGCAAGCCUGAUGCAGCCAUGCCGCGUGUAUGAAGAAGGCCUUCGGGUUGUAAAGUACUUUCAGUCGUGAGGAAGGUGUUAAGGUUAAUAACCUUAGCAAUUGACGUUAGCGACAGAAGAAGCACCGGCUAACUCCGUGCCAGCAGCCGCGGUAAUACGGAGGGUGCGAGCGUUAAUCGGAAUUACUGGGCGUAAAGGGCACGCAGGCGGUUAAUUAAGUUGGAUGUGAAAUCCCCGGGCUUAACCUGGGAAUGGCAUUCAAGACUGGUUAGCUAGAGUCUUGUAGAGGGGGUAGAAUUCCAUGUGUAGCGGUGAAAUGCGUAGAGAUGUGGAGGAAAUACCGGUGGGCGAAAGGCGGGCCCCUGGGGCAAAAGGACUGACGCUCAUGUGCGAAAAGCGUGGGGAGCAAAACAGGGAUUAGAUACC